AGUGAACGCUGGCGGUAGGCCUAACACAUGCAAGUCGAACGGCAGCACAGUAAGAGCUUGCUCUUACGGGUGGCGAGUGGCGGACGGGUGAGGAAUACAUCGGAAUCUACUUUUUCGUGGGGGAUAACGUAGGGAAACUUACGCUAAUACCGCAUACGACCUACGGGCGAAAGCAGGGGAUCUUCGGACCUUGCGCGAUUGAAUGAGCCGAUGUCGGAUUAGCUAGUUGGCGGGGUAAAGGCCCACCAAGGCGACGAUCCGUAGCUGGUCUGAGAGGAUGAUCAGCCACACUGGAACUGAGACACGGUCCAGACUCCUACGGGAGGCAGCAGUGGGGAAUAUUGGACAAUGGGCGCAAGCCUGAUCCAGCCAUACCGCGUGGGUGAAGAAGGCCUUCGGGUUGUAAAGCCCUUUUGUUGGGAAAGAAAAGCAGCAGGUUAAUACCCCGCUGUUCCGACGGUACCCAAAGAAUAAGCACCGGCUAACUUCGUG
This 492-nucleotide ribosomal RNA is filed under the name uncultured bacterium. Its description in RNAcentral is "partial 16S ribosomal RNA". It matches the Rfam family "Bacterial small subunit ribosomal RNA", at positions 29 to 507 of the family's 1533-position model. The record is from RNAcentral.